CUUUUCGAGGUAGGAGUCGACUCCUGUGAGGUAUGGUGCUGGGUGCAGAUGCAGUGUGGCUCUGGAUAGCACCUUAUGGACAGUUGUGUCCCCAAGGAAGGAUGAGAAUAGCUACUGAAGUAAGUUGAAAAUUCCCUCUCAAAAAGGUUUAAAGCCAUUGGAUGUGCCACAAUGAUGACAGUUUAUUUGCUACUCUUGAGUGCUAGAAUGAUGAGGAUCUUAACCACCAUUAUCUUAACUGAGGCACCCAAAAUGGUGAGUUGGGGAACAUAGAGAGUACACCUAAGUUCACAUGAAGUUGUUUCUUCCCAGGUCCUAAAGAGCAAGCCUAACUCAAGCCAUUGGCACACAGGCAUUAGACAGAAAGCUGGAAGUUGAAAUGGUGGAGUCCAACUUGCCUGGACCAGCUUAAUGGUUCUGCUCCUGGUAACGUUUUUAUCCAUGGAUGACUUGCUUGGGUAAGGACAUGAAGACAGUUCCUGUCAUACCUUUUAAAGGUACAUGUUUUAUUGAUGUUAACGUUAAUUGAUUGAGCUACUGUUAGUGAUGAUUUUAAAAUUAAAGCAGAUGGGAAUCUCUCUGAGAAAGAAAAUGGAGAUUAAUCUUAAACUGAAACAGUAGUUGGGAAAUCUUUUAGAAAUCCACCUAUUACUACCUAUUGGUAAAGGAGAUUAAAUUUCUACAGGUAUGGAGAGUCGGCUUGACUACACUGUGUGGAGCAAGUUUUAAAGAAGCAAAGGACUCAGAAUUCAUGAUUGAAGAAAUGCAGGCAGACCUGUUAUCCUAAACUAGGUGAGUCAGCUUUUGGUACAUGUGAUGAUUUUCAGUGUAACCAAUGAUGUAAUGAUUCUGCCAAAUGAAAUAUAAUGAUAUCACUGUAAAACCGUUCCAUUUUGAUUCUGAGGUUACUCUACUAACAAGCAUCACACAUUUGUAUUUUGCCCUGAUUAAUAUGUUGGCUUCGCUUUCAGGGUUUUUAAUGACCACAACAAGCAAGCAUGCAGCUUACUGCUUGAAAGGGUCUUGCCUCACCCAAGCUAGAGUGCAGUGGCCUUUGAAGCUUACUACAGCCUCAAACUUCUGGGCUCAAGUGAUCCUCAGCCUCCCAGUGGUCUUUGUAGACUGCCUGAUGGAGUCUCAUGGCACAAGAAGAUUAAAACAGUGUCUCCAAUUUUAAUAAAUUUUUGCAAUCCA
Molecule: long non-coding RNA, 1194 nt
Organism: Homo sapiens (human)
Lineage: Eukaryota; Metazoa; Chordata; Mammalia; Primates; Hominidae
Gene: GAS5
Product: growth arrest specific 5
Source: Ensembl